AAAGGUUUAGGUUCACCUCAGACCAAAGGCCUUCAAAGCCUUAAGCAAGUGUCUAAUCACUUAACCUUUG
This 70-nucleotide transfer RNA is filed under the name Bettongia penicillata (woylie). Its description in RNAcentral is "tRNA-Trp". The record is from RNAcentral. Lineage: Eukaryota; Metazoa; Chordata; Mammalia; Diprotodontia; Potoroidae.